AAGAACCUGAAUGAACCUUUUGG
This 23-nucleotide microRNA is filed under the name Ovis aries (sheep). Its description in RNAcentral is "miRNA 30-i". Lineage: Eukaryota; Metazoa; Chordata; Mammalia; Artiodactyla; Bovidae. The record is from RNAcentral.